Molecule: ribosomal RNA, 490 nt
Filed under: uncultured bacterium
Lineage: Bacteria
Description: partial 16S ribosomal RNA
Rfam family: Bacterial small subunit ribosomal RNA
Source: RNAcentral
AUUGGACGCUGGCGGCAGGCCUAACACAUGCAAGUCGAACGGUAACAGGAAACAGCUUGCUGUUUCGCUGACGAGUGGCGGACGGGUGAGUAAUGUCUGGGAAACUGCCUGAUGGAGGGGGAUAACUACUGGAAACGGUAGCUAAUACCGCAUAACGUCGCAAGACCAAAGAGGGGGACCUUCGGGCCUCUUGCCAUCGGAUGUGCCCAGAUGGGAUUAGCUAGUAGGUGGGGUAACGGCUCACCUAGGCGACGAUCCCUAGCUGGUCUGAGAGGAUGACCAGCCACACUGGAACUGAGACACGGUCCAGACUCCUACGGGAGGCAGCAGUGGGGAAUAUUGCACAAUGGGCGCAAGCCUGAUGCAGCCAUGCCGCGUGUAUGAAGAAGGCCUUCGGGUUGUAAAGUACUUUCAGCGGGGAGGAAGGGAGUAAAGUUAAUACCUUUACUCAUUGACGUUACCCGCAGAAGAAGCACCGGCCAACUCCGUG